UAGGGAAUCUUCCGCAAUGGACGAAAGUCUGACGGAGCAACGCCGCGUGAGUGAUGAAGGUUUUCGGAUCGUAAAACUCUGUUGUUAGGGAAGAACAAGUACCGGAGUAACUGCCGGCACCUUGACGGUACCUAACCAGAAAGCCACGGCUAACUACGUGCCAGCAGCCGCGGUAAUACGUAGGUGGCAAGCGUUGUCCGGAAUUAUUGGGCGUAAAGCGCGCGCAGGUGGUUCCUUAAGUCUGAUGUGAAAGCCCACGGCUCAACCGUGGAGGGUCAUUGGAAACUGGGGAACUUGAGUGCAGAAGAGGAAAGUGGAAUUCCAAGUGUAGCGGUGAAAUGCGUAGAGAUUUGGAGGAACACCAGUGGCGAAGGCGACGUUCUGGUCUGUAACUGACACUGAGGCGCGAAAGCGUGGGGAGCGAACAGG
RNAcentral lists this ribosomal RNA (429 nucleotides) under bacterium. Its description in RNAcentral is "partial 16S ribosomal RNA". It matches the Rfam family "Bacterial small subunit ribosomal RNA", at positions 355 to 776 of the family's 1533-position model. The record is from RNAcentral.